Molecule: ribosomal RNA, 681 nt
Filed under: Triticum aestivum (bread wheat)
Lineage: Eukaryota; Viridiplantae; Streptophyta; Magnoliopsida; Poales; Poaceae
Description: partial small subunit ribosomal RNA
Source: RNAcentral
UUUCAACCACUCGUUGACAAGGUCACCAGCAAGCUCCCUUCAUGGCAGGGAAGACACGUUGCCAGUGUUGGGCGUGUGGUUCUCGUUAAAGCGGUCCUCACGGCCAUCGCGAUUUAUCACCUCACACCUCUCGACAUCCCCGUGGAGGUGCUAAACGCAAUUGACAGCCUUCGGCGUGCAUACCUUUGGGCUGGAACGGGCAAAGUUUCGGGAGGAAAAUGCAAGAUUAAUUGGGAUCUUGUCUGCAAGCCUAAACAGUUUGGUGGAAUAGGCGUGCUCAAUCUGGACAAAUUCGCUAAGGCCCUCCGUCUUCGAUGGCUAUGGUUUGAGUGGGUGGACAAAAGCAAGCCUUGGAUAGGCAUGGGAUCUCCAUGCACCGAAGACGAUCAUAUCCUUUUUGCUGCUGCUACAACGGUUAAUGUGGGCAACAGGUGCACAGCCAGAUUCUGGAACUCGCCAUGGUUAAACGGCUUGUGUCCCCGUGACUUAGCACCAUGCAUCUUUGCCAUUUCACGCAACAAGAAUUUGUCUGUCCAGCAAAGCCUUACCAACAACAACUGGAUCUCUCUCAUUGACACCUUCAAUGACCUGUCGCUCGCACACGUCCAGCAGUUUGCUAACCUUUGGGAGAAGGUUUCCAUGGCCUCUUUGACUGAUGACAUAGAAGAUUCCAUCAUUUGA